RNAcentral lists this ribosomal RNA (108 nucleotides) under uncultured bacterium. RNAcentral describes it as "partial 16S ribosomal RNA". It matches the Rfam family "Bacterial small subunit ribosomal RNA", at positions 247 to 354 of the family's 1533-position model. The record is from RNAcentral.
UGUUGGCGGGGUAGGGGCCCACCAAGGCGACGAUCAGUAGCCGGCCUGAGAGGGUGGACGGCCACAUUGGGACUGAGACACGGCCCAAACUCCUACGGAAGGCAGCAG